CCUGCUCUGACUUUGAUAAUACCAAUACACUGGAUAGAGACCUCCAAGUCCUCCUACUUAGUCAACAACUUUUUGUUAAGUGCAAAUUUUGUCCAUGGCUCUAUGUUUAGUCUGCUGUAGCUACAAAAUGAAUGAGAUGACCCUUCCUUCAAAGAUCUGGGACUAAGAGAUCAAAAAGGAUUGACAUCAGAAAGGAGAACAAAAAGCCAGUCCACAUAAGAUUGUGGAGUGACAAUAGGGAGAUUUAAGCACACACACUCAUAUGGCUUCAAUUUUGUGAAUUCCUGGGAGGCAAAAUAAUGUGCUAGGGAAAGAGUAAAUUACAUUCUAGCUUCAGUUGUUGGGAAACAUUUGAAAGUACCGCUGUGAAAAUGUCAAAGUGGUAUCCACAUAUUUUUCCCCCAAUAUCAGAAAGCUCCUAAAAUCUAUUUGAUUACUCAAGCUUGAAAAGUCCUGUCAACUUUUGACAUAAAACAUAGAUUGGGUUUUGAGUCAUAUCUAUAACUAAAUAAUGACUGUGGUUAUUUUUUUCCCCCUUCUUUGUCUUGACUUUGAUUUCUUAUCCCCUUCUAUAGAAUUAAGACCAACUCUGGGCAAAAUAGUGAAGCAAAGGAAGGAAAGAAAAGGGAAGAAGAAAGGAACAUGGAUUGAGAAGGCCUGCUGUGUUCCAGCUUCGCUGCAAUUUCGACAUGUCAUUAACCAUGGAGGACUGAGCUGAAGCCGUAAGUACUGAUCAGAAGUUCUUGUUCUCAUAACACCCUUAUUGGAACAUUUCAACUUGGAAGUUGAUCUAAUGUGUUGAUCCUGGACACAUCUUAACACUUCGCUAAUUGAUAUGAUUUUACAUGCUUCUGCACUUUCCAGGUGUCUUACCUUGCUCUCAACUGCUAUUUCUUGUGAUUGUCAGUAUAUCUGAGAGGAGCUUUUCUCUCUGGUGAUUUUCUGCUAUUUAUGUGAAGUGGACUUUGAAACAAUAUUGCUAAAGAACUUGCUAAAAUCAAGUGCUGCAUGGGAGUAAAUAUUUUGUGAGUGAGGAAAGGAGGUUUACAGAUGAGCAAAGUGAAUGAACUCCAGUACACUGUGUUCUGUUUACUCUGUCCCUAAACAGGUUCAAAGCACUUUUGGUUGCUCUCUGUUUCUUAACUAUGUUUCAGAUGGAUAAAUCUUGCUGAUGUUUGAGUUCCAUUAGGGCAUAUGGAAUGUUUUCAGUGAAGGAAGACUUCAUGUGUUGAAGGAAGGAUCCACUGAGUGAAUUAUUCAAGAGUGACUAUUGUAGUGAUUACUGCUCAGAGUCUAGAAUCAUUGUGGAUCUGCCUGUCAUUCACAAGGGUAUACUUAGAGGGAACUAGUAUAACAAAUGCUAUUUCCUAUCUGAUUUCUCAAUAGUUGGUUGCAUAAACUAGCCUUUCCAUCUCUACAAUAAAGUUCCUAGUGAAAAGAAAAAGAGGGAAGUC
This 1454-nucleotide long non-coding RNA is filed under the name Felis catus (domestic cat). Its description in RNAcentral is "lncRNA (ENSFCAG00000052118.1)". Lineage: Eukaryota; Metazoa; Chordata; Mammalia; Carnivora; Felidae. The record is from RNAcentral.